CCAUUAACGGCUGGGUCAUCUCCUUCGUUUAAAUAGGAAACCCAUUAGCGUGGGAUGGGCCCCAUUUGAUGGUCUAGGACGUCCGUCAGGUGGACCAUUAUACCAGAAAACCAUCCAUAUAAACGUUGUAUAGCCAAGCACAAAGGAUUCCACUCGAUCAGCAAUUCUCGGGGCAUUUAGUUGGGGUGAAAACGCAAACUACAGCUAAUCCCGGAUUAGCAUUCUAAAUCCCAACAGGUUGCUAACGUGGCUUAUAAAAGCCGUCCUGUUAGGGCAACAUUCGCGGUUAGACAUGAGAGGAGAGAGAGAGAGAGAGAGAGAGAGAGAGAGAGAGAGAGAGAGCCAGCCGCUGGAACGAGUUCCAGCUGCUGUUGCGGCCCAACUCUGUCCCAACAGGGGACGAGUCAGAAUCGGACCUGACCUGCUCCAUCCAGAAGAAGAUUUAGAGGAGUGGAAGCUGCUGGUAAGCCAGCUAGGUCGACUCCGCACCCACUGGUCAUCUCAACUCAUGCCAACUCGCCGAUUCCAAUGACAUCAUAUCCCGUGAAGCCAGCCGCACCAGAUUCCUGUUUCACAACUCCGAUUGAGACAAAAAACCUUCCGACGGGACCCACCUCUGCCCAGGCAUCUCAGCAGCUGCCGUUUUACCAAUGUGGUGCCAGGAUCGAGUCAGAUCGACUCGAGAUCGCUCCAGCCUGAUCAACCCAACCCGAAUCCCCAAAAAUCUGGAUGAGUUCACGAACCGGGUCGUGUUCCUGAGAUCAGUGUGCUGAUUUAGUCAGGCACGUUGUGGGAUUCGCUCUGACCUCCCUACACCAUCAUAUAGGACCGUUCCCUAAACAGGUGCUAUUUCCAACUGUUCACCUUGAAGGACACUUCCCUUCAAUCACUUCCAAGAACAAAACUCUUGGACUCAUCUUAUAAGGACUUUAAGCCAAGGGAAACAUCCACCCAAGGUGAGGA
Magnolia sinica is the source of this 963-nucleotide long non-coding RNA. RefSeq lists it as uncharacterized. The transcript is spliced from 3 exons. NCBI's taxonomy places the organism in Eukaryota, Viridiplantae, Streptophyta, Magnoliopsida, Magnoliales, Magnoliaceae. The record is from RefSeq and is a predicted model, not a curated record.